Non-coding RNA from Candidatus Riesia pediculischaeffi, 339 nucleotides. The record is from Rfam. Lineage: Bacteria; Pseudomonadati; Pseudomonadota; Gammaproteobacteria; Enterobacterales; Enterobacteriaceae.
GGAGUCAACUAGACAAUCGCUGUUAUAGAAAUUUAAAACAGAGGAAAGUCCAGGCUCCUUUGGGCGAGGUGCCAGAGAGACGGCAGUCGAUCUGGGAAGUGUGAACUUACGAAAAGUGCAUCAGAAAAGAACCGCCAUUAUUGGUAAGGGUGAAAAGGUGCGGUAAUAGCGCACCGCAUGAUAUGGUAACAUUUCAUGGCAGUGUAAACUCCACCUGGAGCAAGGCCAAAAUAGGUGAUAUGCCCUAAUUAUAACCAUGGUAGGCCGCUAAAAAUCGAUCUCGAUCGAUAGAUAAAUGAUUGUCCUAGACAGAACCUGGCUUAUAGGUUGACUCCAAUU